RNAcentral lists this long non-coding RNA (431 nucleotides) under Phaseolus vulgaris (common bean). RNAcentral's name for it is "long non-coding RNA (PVUL_LNC000846)". The record is from RNAcentral. Lineage: Eukaryota; Viridiplantae; Streptophyta; Magnoliopsida; Fabales; Fabaceae.
AAACAUUUUGGUCUUGAUGAGGAGAAGGAAGAUUAGGGAGCAUCAACCAUAUCAAGCAAAGUUCAAAACGAUAAAAACAAUUAAUAUUAACCAAAAGAAAAGAAGGUGAUACGAUAACAACAAUAAACAGUAGCAGCAUGAAUGAAAAUCAUGCAUGGAAAAAAGCCAGAGGGAUUGAUUGUUAUACAAGUUUUCUGCUUCCAAAUUCAAACUGAAUUUAUGUUUUGUCGGGGCUUUUUCAUUUUUGGUUUAAAUCAAGGUACACGCUAGUGUCAAAAAAGCAUGUUGUCACUGUUGAAAAUACGUGCAAGAUAUAAAUGCAACUAACUUCCAAAUACAAGCGUCAAGGAACAUGCACAAACACGUAGGAUUCUUAUCCUUAAAUUAUAAGGACGGUGUUUCUUAUAUUGAUCACAGUGCCAGUACCCCAG